This 559-nucleotide long non-coding RNA is filed under the name Heterocephalus glaber (naked mole-rat). RNAcentral's name for it is "lncRNA (ENSHGLG00100043630.1)". The record is from RNAcentral. Lineage: Eukaryota; Metazoa; Chordata; Mammalia; Rodentia; Bathyergidae.
CUCACGCAGAAAAAUCUGUUUUCAGUUUGACUGAAAAAUUGCCUCUUGCGUCAUAAACAUCUCUAUAUUUGUAAGGCUCUUUGCAGUUGACAAAGCAUUUUUGCAAAGUUUUUUCAUUUGAUCCUAUCCACAAGGGUGGAGUACCUCGCCCAGGACCGCACAGCUAGACAAUGGCAAGCUGGGUGCUGGCUCUGGGUUCACAGGCAAUUUGGAGGCAGCUGCCUCUCUAAGGACCCGGGGUGUCACCAUUGUGCAGAGCCUGUUGAACUCAACGCAGGAAAGGCAAGUGAGAGAAGUGGGAGAUGGAGGAGUCAACAUGGCAGAAAAGAGAGAGAAGAUGGAAGUGAGGAAACAGAAGUAGACAGAAAUUUGAUAAGAAGGGAAAAGUGACCAUGCAGAUGUAGAAGACAGAUGGAGUGCAAAGGAGGGAAUACACACAUGCGAGGCCAGCACUAUAGCCCAACAGACUGCAGUAAGCCAGCCAGGCUGGGGGCCUGCCCAACAGGAGCAGCAUUCUGCCAAGGGGAGGGGGAGAGGCCUGGAGGACGGAGGAGGGCCU